AGGCUUGACUGGACAUAACGAGAACUGCUAAUUACUCGCCACCACGGUUCGACCCCGUGGCGGGCCUA
This 68-nucleotide transfer RNA is filed under the name Telmatobufo australis. RNAcentral's name for it is "tRNA-Ser". The record is from RNAcentral. Lineage: Eukaryota; Metazoa; Chordata; Amphibia; Anura; Calyptocephalellidae.